RNAcentral lists this ribosomal RNA (546 nucleotides) under Lactiplantibacillus plantarum. RNAcentral's name for it is "bacterial SSU rRNA". It matches the Rfam family "Bacterial small subunit ribosomal RNA", at positions 38 to 536 of the family's 1533-position model. The record is from RNAcentral. Lineage: Bacteria; Bacillati; Bacillota; Bacilli; Lactobacillales; Lactobacillaceae.
AUCGCGAAGGCGGCGUGCUAUAAUGCAGUCGACGAACUCUGGUAUUGAUUGGUGCUUGCAUCAUGAUUUACAUUUGAGUGAGUGGCGAACUGGUGAGUAACACGUGGGAAACCUGCCCAGAAGCGGGGGAUAACACCUGGAAACAGAUGCUAAUACCGCAUAACAACUUGGACCGCAUGGUCCGAGUUUGAAAGAUGGCUUCGGCUAUCACUUUUGGAUGGUCCCGCGGCGUAUUAGCUAGAUGGUGGGGUAACGGCUCACCAUGGCAAUGAUACGUAGCCGACCUGAGAGGGUAAUCGGCCACAUUGGGACUGAGACACGGCCCAAACUCCUACGGGAGGCAGCAGUAGGGAAUCUUCCACAAUGGACGAAAGUCUGAUGGAGCAACGCCGCGUGAGUGAAGAAGGGUUUCGGCUCGUAAAACUCUGUUGUUAAAGAAGAACAUAUCUGAGAGUAACUGUUCAGGUAUUGACGGUAUUUAACCAGAAAGCCACGGCUAACUACGUGCCAGCAGCCGCGGUAAUACGUAGGUGGCAAAGCGUAAAA